Molecule: ribosomal RNA, 588 nt
Filed under: uncultured bacterium
Lineage: Bacteria
Description: partial 16S ribosomal RNA
Rfam family: Bacterial small subunit ribosomal RNA
Source: RNAcentral
UGGGGGAAUUUUGGACAAUGGGCGAAAGCCUGAUCCAGCAAUGCCGCGUGUGUGAAGAAGGCCUUCGGGUUGUAAAGCACUUUUGCCCGGAAAGAAAUCCUUGGCUCUAAUACAGUCGGGGGGAUGACGGUACCGGAAGAAUAAGCACCGGCUAACUACGUGCCAGCAGCCGCGGUAAUACGUAGGGUGCAAGCGUUAAUCGGAAUUACUGGGCGUAAAGCGUGCGCAGGCGGUUUGCUAAGACCGAUGUGAAAUCCCCGGGCUCAACCUGGGAACUGCAUUGGUGACUGGCAGGCUAGAGUAUGGCAGAGGGGGGUAGAAUUCCACGUGUAGCAGUGAAAUGCGUAGAGAUGUGGAGGAAUACCGAUGGCGAAGGCAGCCCCCCUGGGCCAAUACUGACGCUCAUGCACGGAAGCGUGGGGAGCAAACAGGAUUAGAUACCCUGGCAGUCCACGCCCUAAACGAUGUCAACUAGUUGUUGGGGAUUCAUUUCCUUAGUAACGUAGCUAACGCGUGAAGUUGACCGCCUGGGGAGUACGGUCGCAAGAUUAAAACUCAAAUGAAUUGACGGGGUCAUAGCUGUUUCCU